CGUAUCACUUAAAGCGAUUCAGCGGGUUACGAUUGACGGAGCGAAGCGACGUCAAAGCGUAUACAAAGUCGAGUCGGUUUAAGGAUACGUUCGUUGGGUAGGGGAGCGUUCUGUAAGCCUGUGAAGGUGGCCUGUGAGGGUUGCUGGAGGUAUCAGAAGUGCGAAUGCUGACAUAAGUAACGAUAAAGCGGGUGAAAAGCCCGCUCGCCGGAAGACCAAGGGUUCCUGUCCAACGUUAAUCGGGGCAGGGUGAGUCGACCCCUAAGGCGAGGCCGAAAGGCGUAGUCGAUGGGAAACGGGUUAAUAUUCCCGUACUUGGUGUUACUGCGAAGGGGGGACGGAGAAGGCUAUGUUGGCCGGGCGACGGUUGUCCCGGUUUAAGCGUGUAGGUGUGUGUUCCAGGUAAAUCCGGUUCACUUUAACACUGAGGCGUGACGACGAGGCACUACGGUGCUGAAGCAACAAAUGCCCUGCUUCCAGGAAAAGCCUCUAAGCAUCAGGUAACAUCAAAUCGUACCCCAAACCGACACAGGUGGUCAGGUAGAGAAUACCAAGGCGCUUGAGAGAACUCGGGUGAAGGAACUAGGCAAAAUGGUGCCGUAACUUCGGGAGAAGGCACGCUGACAUGUAGGUGAAGUGAUUUACUCAUGGAGCUGAAGUCAGUCGAAGAUACCAGCUGGCUGCAACUGUUUAUUAAAAACACAGCACUGUGCAAACACGAAAGUGGACGUAUACGGUGUGACGCCUGCCCGGUGCCGGAAGGUUAAUUGAUGGGGUCAGCGCAAGCGAAGCUCCUGAUCGAAGCCCCGGUAAACGGCGGCCGUAACUAUAACGGUCCUAAGGUAGCGAAAUUCCUUGUCGGGUAAGUUCCGACCUGCACGAAUGGCGUAAUGAUGGCCAGGCUGUCUCCACCCGAGACUCAGUGAAAUUGAACUCGCUGUGAAGAUGCAGUGUACCCGCGGCAAGACGGAAAGACCCCGUGAACCUUUACUAUAGCUUGACACUGAACAUUGAGCCUUGAUGUGUAGGAUAGGUGGGAGGCUUUGAAGUGUGG
Molecule: ribosomal RNA, 1054 nt
Filed under: Salmonella enterica subsp. enterica serovar Panama
Lineage: Bacteria; Pseudomonadati; Pseudomonadota; Gammaproteobacteria; Enterobacterales; Enterobacteriaceae
Description: partial 23S ribosomal RNA
Rfam family: Bacterial large subunit ribosomal RNA
Source: RNAcentral